Long non-coding RNA from Neofelis nebulosa (Clouded leopard), 533 nucleotides. RefSeq lists it as uncharacterized. Lineage: Eukaryota; Metazoa; Chordata; Mammalia; Carnivora; Felidae. The record is from RefSeq and is a predicted model, not a curated record. The transcript has 3 exons.
AGGAUGACUGAAAUAAAGUCAAAGCAAACAUUUCUGUAAUCAUAUGCAUAAUGAUGUUGAGCACCUUCACACAUCCUUAUUUGCUACUGAUGCCCAGUGUGAUUCCACUAUCCAGCCAGUUGUGGUCACAUGACUGAGCUCAUCUAAUAGAAUGUGGACCUACAUCCUUGGUUCACAAGAAGCUACUUCCCACCACCAAUUCCCUCUCUUUACCCAAGCCUGCUAAUCAUAUGUCAAUAUUCAGUGUGUUCUCAGGAUUUGCAAACUAUGUGUUGAAAUGAUAGUUUCCUUCAACCUAGAGCCCUGAAUGAUUUUGUGGCACACCCCAUCCCCCCACCAACUGCUGAUAAAAACUUACACUAGCGAAACUUAAACCGAUGUCCAAAUAAAAACCCUGUAAUUUUGGGUUUAUCUGUAUGGCAGCUGAAUACACCCAUUCUAACUUCAGAGGUAGAGGCCCAGAAAAGAUAUAUAGUCUGUAGACCAUACUUCAACAAAACAUUAAAAAUUAAAAUAUUUAAAAAUUAUGUAUU